AGACGGAGCGACGGCGGGGGAGGCGCUUCCGCCUCAUACCAUGGGGGACCCGCGCGGUCAGCGCACUUCCGCUCGGGGCGGAUUCUGGGGCUGCGGGGAGAGUAGGACGGAAGUGGGUACCCUCGUGGGCAUCGCGUUUAGCCAAGUUAAGCUAGGGUGGGUACUGACUGUUGACCUAGGGUCAGACAUAUGUCACACAUAUGGCAGAGGCGGAAUUCAACUUGGAUGUACCUCUCCCUAGGGCGUGCGAUGGCCACCUCAUGUCUAAGCUGGAGCUAAGGUGUGGAUGUGGCCUAACACCCCCCACUCCUUUGCGAUCCGAUACAUGUUUGCAUCCUUCUCUGGGAAUCAGCCAGUAACUGACAUGGAAGACAUUCAGCAGAGGCCGAAUGAGUGCUCCCCUGGGCUGGCUGUGACAGAGUGAGGGGCUCAUUAGUCCUCACCUACCAUUGCGGCUCUCUAUGGUCCCUUGUUCCUUCUGGGCGCUCCGAGAGCAGACCGAACUCACACAUCACAGUUGAUGCCCUACCUCACAGUGUGUGUUUGUGUGUGUGGUUGUUGUUGUUGUUGUCGUUUUACUUUGAGAUUGGUUCUAUGUAGCCCUAACCCCCUGCCUGUUCUGGAACUUUCUAUGUAGAUGUGGCUGACUUUGAACCUACAGAGAUCUGCCUACUUCUACCUCCUCAGUGCUAGAAUUAAAUACGUGUGCCACCA
This is a long non-coding RNA of Mus musculus (house mouse), 714 nucleotides long. RefSeq annotates it as predicted gene, 39874. NCBI's taxonomy places the organism in Eukaryota, Metazoa, Chordata, Mammalia, Rodentia, Muridae. The record is from RefSeq and is marked validated. The transcript is spliced from 2 exons.